RNAcentral lists this ribosomal RNA (280 nucleotides) under uncultured bacterium. Its description in RNAcentral is "partial 16S ribosomal RNA". It matches the Rfam family "Bacterial small subunit ribosomal RNA", at positions 78 to 353 of the family's 1533-position model. The record is from RNAcentral.
GCUUGCUUUCUUUGCUGGCGACCGGCGCACGGGUGAGUAACACGUAUCCAACCUACCCUUUACUCGGGGAUAGCCUUUCAAAAGAAAGAUUAAUACCCGAUAGCAUAAUGAUUCCGCAUGGUUUCAUUAUUAAAGGAUUCCGGUAAAGGAUGGGGAUGCGUUCCAUUAGGUUGUUGGUGGGGUAACGGCCCACCAAGCCUUCGAUGGAUAGGGGUUCUGAGAGGAAGGUCCCCCACAUUGGAACUGAGACACGGUCCAAACUCCUACGGGAGGCAGCAUG